Molecule: unclassified non-coding RNA, 271 nt
Filed under: Peniophora albobadia
Lineage: Eukaryota; Fungi; Basidiomycota; Agaricomycetes; Russulales; Peniophoraceae
Description: partial internal transcribed spacer region
Rfam family: Eukaryotic small subunit ribosomal RNA (bases 1-46)
Source: RNAcentral
AAGUCGUAACAAGGUUUCCGUAGGUGAACCUGCGGAAGGAUCAUUAGCGAAGUUCGGAAUGCAUGUUCGGUGUUGAUGCUGCCCAGCAAUGGGAUGUGCUCACUCGGAUGUGUGUCCCUUCUCUAUCCACCCCAUUGUGAACCAAGUGUGUGAGCCGAAGAGAAAUCGGACGCUCGCAUGCAAACCUUUAAUAUACCCCAAUUAAGUAUCAGAAUGUACCUUGCGUUAACUCGCACAAAUAUAACUUUCAACAACGGAUCUCUUGGCUCUC